GCCCGGUUAGCUCAAUCGGUAGAGCGUAAGACUCUUAGAAUACGGGGUUCAAGCCCCGUUUCCAUGGCAUUGGCAAUCUUAAGGCUGUGGGUUCGACCCCCACAUCGGGCU
Non-coding RNA from Arthrobotrys musiformis, 111 nucleotides. The record is from the annotation of a GenBank genome assembly. NCBI's taxonomy places the organism in Eukaryota, Fungi, Ascomycota, Orbiliomycetes, Orbiliales, Orbiliaceae.